This 484-nucleotide ribosomal RNA is filed under the name uncultured bacterium. RNAcentral describes it as "partial 16S ribosomal RNA". It matches the Rfam family "Bacterial small subunit ribosomal RNA", at positions 30 to 507 of the family's 1533-position model. The record is from RNAcentral.
AUUGAACGCUGGCGGCAGGCCUAACACAUGCAAGUCGAGCGGAAGAAGGGAGCUUGCUCCUGGAUUCAGCGGCGGACGGGUGAGUAAUGCCUAGGAAUCUGCCUGGUAGCGGGGGAUAACGUCCGGACACGGGCGCUAAUACCGCAUACGUCCUGAGGGAGAAAGUGGGGGAUCUUCGGACCUCACGCUAUCAGAUGAGCCUAGGUCGGAUUAGCUAGUUGGUGGGGUAAAGGCCUACCAAGGCGACGAUCCGUAACUGGUCUGAGAGGAUGAUCAGUCACACUGGAACUGAGACACGGUCCAGACUCCUACGGGAGGCAGCAGUGGGGAAUAUUGGACAAUGGGCGAAAGCCUGAUCCAGCCAUGCCGCGUGUGUGAAGAAGGUCUUCGGAUUGUAAAGCACUUUAAGUUGGGAGGAAGGGCAGUAAGUUAAUACCUUGCUGUUUUGACGUUACCAACAGAAUAAGCACCGGCUAACUUCGUG